This is a non-coding RNA of Delphinapterus leucas (beluga whale), 1239 nucleotides long. The record is from RefSeq and is a predicted model, not a curated record. Lineage: Eukaryota; Metazoa; Chordata; Mammalia; Artiodactyla; Monodontidae.
UAUCAAGGGGCCGGCCCCUAGCAGGUGCCUGAAGGCCAGCUUAGUGCAGAAAGUACCCGUCGGAGGAGACUGGUGCCAGGAAAGGACAAAUGGAAAAUGGAAUUAGGGGCCAGACUCGGAGGCAAGGUGAUGUGGAGACACAGAAAGGGGCGAUCUGGUGGGGGGGAGAAAUUGGCGUUCAAGAGUGGGACAGGUUGCAAAUGACUUGUGGAUCUCACGGGAUAGGUACUGUACAGUGUGUGAGUAUGGGGAGGUAGGUACUCUGGGGUCUGGGGAGGAGCAGUCUUACCAAGACUAUGGUUAAGAAAGCAGAUGGCUGAAUGGGAAAGGGAAAGAGGGAAAUUUGGGAUCAAGCCAUCCCAGACCAGAACCAUCUUCCAGCUCGGAAUCCCUUCUCUCCAGCCUCAUUGCUAUAACCUGGGUCAGAGCAUGCUGCUCCCUUUCCUCAUGGUUUCCCCUUUUGUGGUUGCAGCAGAGUUCACACUAGCCAGUGUUCUGGUAGAUGGAAAGAUUGCCCCACCUCUCCCGGGCCACCCCCAUCUUUGUCGUUUCCCCUUUUUCACAUUUUGCCCUUUCUAGGUAGCUGGAGUCUAGCUUCCAGGUCAGUGCCAGCCGUAAAGGAGGGCACAGGGGAGCAGGUGGCUAUGCAAAAGUCACUUCCAGGCUGUGGACUCAGGGCUGAGAAAUAGGACACCUGCCAGUGCCCAUUCCAGCAUUGACCUGGCUGGGGCAGCCUUGGGUCAAGGCCUCUGUGUAGUCCUGGUUUCCACCAACAUCAGGAAGGGGAGCUGCAGGAGCCACCUAGGCAGGCACCCCAGGACUGUGCCAGGCUGGAAAACACGGCUUCAAAGCAGUCUCUCCACCACCCAAGUUUGGGAAACCAUGCAAAAGACCUAGAAGGCAAAUUAACUUUAUGGAUGUCACAAAACUGAGGACUGUAAACACAAUGGGUGUCUGUAUUAGGGUUCAAAGAGAUCUUAAAAAACUGGUAUGUGCAGUGCUUAACAGCAUGAGGCUCCAGACCGAAAUGAGAAUGCAGACUGUGGGAUCGCUGGGGCAUUCCUCUCCCAGCCUCAGUGCACCGUCUGUAAAACAGAGGCAUUAUCACCCUGGACUCAAACUGUCUGGAGACUGGGCUGGGCUAAGAGGCUCUUCAGUUAAUAAGUUACAGCAGGGACUUCCCUGGUGGCGCAGUGGUUAAGAAUCCACCUGCCAAUGCAGGGGACACGGGUUCGAGCC